UGGGGAAUUGUUCGCAAUGGGCGCAAGCCUGACGACGCAACGCCGCGUGGAGGAUGAAGGUCUUCGGAUUGUAAACUCCUGUUGCUCGGGACGAAAUGCUUCAACCUAAUACGUUGAAGUUUGACGGUACCGAGUGAGGAAGCCCCGGCUAACUCUGUGCCAGCAGCCGCGGUAAUACAGAGGGGGCAAGCGUUGUUCGGAAUUACUGGGCGUAAAGGGCGCGUAGGUGGCCUGUUAAGUCGAACGUGAAAUCCCUGGGCUCAACCCAGGAACUGCGUCCGAUACUGGCAGGCUUGAAUUCGGGAGAGGGAUGCGGAAUUCCAGGUGUAGCGGUGAAAUGCGUAGAUAUCUGGAGGAACACCGGUGGCGAAGGCGGCAUCCUGGACCGAUAUUGACGCUGAGGCGCGAAAGCCAGGGGAGCAAACGGG
Molecule: ribosomal RNA, 428 nt
Filed under: uncultured bacterium
Lineage: Bacteria
Description: bacterial SSU rRNA
Rfam family: Bacterial small subunit ribosomal RNA
Source: RNAcentral